GCUGUGGUAGCUCAGUGGUUAUGGCUUUGCGUUGCAGAUAAGGUGGUCAUGUGUUCAAAUCCCAACACCACCA
Molecule: non-coding RNA, 73 nt
Organism: Pangasianodon gigas (Mekong giant catfish)
Lineage: Eukaryota; Metazoa; Chordata; Actinopteri; Siluriformes; Pangasiidae
Source: the annotation of a GenBank genome assembly